This 528-nucleotide ribosomal RNA is filed under the name Enterobacter sp. 105. Its description in RNAcentral is "bacterial SSU rRNA". It matches the Rfam family "Bacterial small subunit ribosomal RNA", at positions 1 to 522 of the family's 1533-position model. Lineage: Bacteria; Pseudomonadati; Pseudomonadota; Gammaproteobacteria; Enterobacterales; Enterobacteriaceae. The record is from RNAcentral.
UGGAGAGUUUGAUCCUGGCUCAGAUUGAACGCUGGCGGCAGGCCUAACACAUGCAAGUCGAACGGUAACAGAGAGCAGCUUGCUGCUCUGCUGACGAGUGGCGGACGGGUGAGUAAUGUCUGGGAAACUGCCUGAUGGAGGGGGAUAACUACUGGAAACGGUAGCUAAUACCGCAUAAYGUCUUCGGACCAAAGUGGGGGACCUUCGGGCCUCAUGCCAUCAGAUGUGCCCAGAUGGGAUUAGCUAGUAGGUGGGGUAAAGGCUCACCUAGGCGACGAUCCCUAGCUGGUCUGAGAGGAUGACCAGCCACACUGGAACUGAGACACGGUCCAGACUCCUACGGGAGGCAGCAGUGGGGAAUAUUGCACAAUGGGCGCAAGCCUGAUGCAGCCAUGCCGCGUGUAUGAAGAAGGCCUUCGGGUUGUAAAGUACUUUCAGCGAGGAGGAAGGGAUUGUGGUUAAUAACCGCAGUCAUUGACGUUACUCGCAGAAGAAGCACCGGCUAACUCCGUGCCAGCAGCCGCGGUA